Long non-coding RNA from Oncorhynchus tshawytscha (Chinook salmon), 586 nucleotides. RefSeq lists it as uncharacterized. The record is from RefSeq and is a predicted model, not a curated record. The transcript has 2 exons. NCBI's taxonomy places the organism in Eukaryota, Metazoa, Chordata, Actinopteri, Salmoniformes, Salmonidae.
GAGGUGGCAACAAUUGUUUGUAUUAGAAGAGGGAGGUGGCAACAAUUGUUUGUAUUAGAAGAGGGAGGUGGCAACAAUUGUUUGUAUUAGAAGAGGGAGGUGGCAACAAUUGUUUGAUAUUCCAAGAGAAAGGGAGGUGGCAACAAUUGUUUGUAUUAGAAGAGGGAGGUGGCAACAAUUGUUUGUAUUAGAAGAGGGAGGUGGCAACAACUGUUUGUAUUAGAAGAGGGAGGUGGCAACAAUUGUUUGUAUUAGAAGAGGGAGGUGGCAACAAUUGUUUGUAUUAGAAGAGGGAGGUGGCAACAAUUGUUUGUAUUAGAAGAGGGAGGUGGCAACAAUUGUUUGUAUUAGAAGAGGGAGGUGGCAACAACUGUUUGUAUUGGAAGAGGGAGGUGGCAACAAUUAGAAACAACGUGUGAGUGAAGAAGGACAGGGGCUUUUUGCAUCAACAACAGGUGCAUAGCAGCAUUAAUAGCGUAUUGUAUUAUUACAUAUUGAACAGCAUUCCUUUAUUCUGCAUUUCACUUCAAUUGUUAUUGUAGUUUUUUAAUGAAAACGAAUUCCCCAGUAAAAUCUAAAUCUAAUA